AUUGAACGCUGGCGGCAGGCUUAACACAUGCAAGUCGAGCGGGGAAAGGUAGCUUGCUACCUGACCUAGCGGCGGACGGGUGAGUAAUGCUUAGGAAUCUGCCUAUUAGUGGGGGACAACAUCUCGAAAGGGAUGCUAAUACCGCAUACGUCCUACGGGAGAAAGCAGGGGACCUUCGGGCCUUGCGCUAAUAGAUGAGCCUAAGUCGGAUUAGCUAGUUGGUGGGGUAAAGGCCUACCAAGGCGACGAUCUGUAGCGGGUCUGAGAGGAUGAUCCGCCACACUGGGACUGAGACACGGCCCAGACUCCUACGGGAGGCAGCAGUGGGGAAUAUUGGACAAUGGGGGGAACCCUGAUCCAGCCAUGCCGCGUGUGGGAAGAAGGCCUUUUGGUUGUAAAGCACUUUAAGCGGGGAGGAGGCUACCGAGAUUAAUACUCUUGGAUAGUGGACGUUACUCGCAGAAUAAGCACCGGCUAACUCUGUG
Molecule: ribosomal RNA, 485 nt
Filed under: uncultured bacterium
Lineage: Bacteria
Description: partial 16S ribosomal RNA
Rfam family: Bacterial small subunit ribosomal RNA
Source: RNAcentral